RNAcentral lists this long non-coding RNA (700 nucleotides) under Sorghum bicolor (sorghum). Its description in RNAcentral is "long non-coding RNA (SBIC_LNC013171)". Lineage: Eukaryota; Viridiplantae; Streptophyta; Magnoliopsida; Poales; Poaceae. The record is from RNAcentral.
CCAUUAAGCCCCUUCAUGUUUGCUAAGAACAAGCUUAAGAUUAUUAAUAACAUUUCUGAGAAAUAUGAAAGGGUCAUACAAACCUGAUUGAACCAGUAAAACAGCCACACCAAGAAGCACCAUCUAAUCCAACACUAGCUUACAGCACCCACGUUCAGGUUCAAAAAUUGCAAUAACAGACCCCACACAAUGCAGCUAAUUCUGUUGUGAUCCCCAAACCAUCAAAUUAAGCAAUCAGACAGAACUAACCUAUUUACACUACUGCCAAACAAAUCAAUGAAAAGGACCAACCGGAUCUACCCUUGACAAGGUUAUCUAAUGAUUUAAUUCAACAGCAAUUCAUCAUCAUUCAAAACCCCAGAUCAAAAGGUCACCCAACCAAUAAUAAUUAAUUCCUUAAUCAGGUGAAACAUGACCCAAAAUCCCACGCACCUAACAGUACAUAAAUCGAGAAAUCAAAUCCAACACCUAGCAGCAAGAGAUCGAACUACCCUUUAAUUAAUACACUAACCGUGAAGGCGCGUGUACAUCCACAUCAAAUAUCUGAACACGCUACUUCACUCCAGAAAUUCCACAUUUCAACCAUCCGUGUACCCGCUCCAAGCCCCCAACAGAUAACUGGCACGGUUGCUAACCCCAAAAGGGGGAAAAGGUGCUCAGCACAGUCAGUCCUCGCACCAAACUAUUCCCAAAUCAGGCG